RNAcentral lists this ribosomal RNA (460 nucleotides) under uncultured bacterium. RNAcentral's name for it is "partial 16S ribosomal RNA". It matches the Rfam family "Bacterial small subunit ribosomal RNA", at positions 338 to 795 of the family's 1533-position model. The record is from RNAcentral.
CCUACGGGGAGCAGCAGUGAGGAAUAUUGGUCAAUGGGCGGAAGCCUGAACCAGCCAAGUCGCGUGAGGGAUUAAGGCCCUGCGGGUCGUAAACCUCUUUUGCCGGGGAGCAGUGGUCCGGACGCGUCCGGACCGGGAGAGUACCCGGAGAAAAAGCAUCGGCUAACACCGUGCCAGCAGCCGCGGUACUACGGAGGCUGCAAGCGUUAUCCGAAUUUAUUGGGUUUAAAGGUUGCUAAGGCGUGCAUUUAAUCCGGCGGUCAAAUGUCGGGGCUAAACCCCGGCUUGCCGUUGAAACUGUGUCCCUUGAGUGCGCGAAGGGUAGGCGGAAUGCGUGGUGUAGCGGUGAAAUGCAUAGAUAUCACGCAGAACUCCGAUCGCGAAGGCAGCCUACCGGCGCGCAACUGACGCUCAUGCACGAAAGCGUGGGUAUCGAACAGGAUUAGAUACCCCAGUAGUC